This 433-nucleotide ribosomal RNA is filed under the name uncultured bacterium. Its description in RNAcentral is "partial 16S ribosomal RNA". It matches the Rfam family "Bacterial small subunit ribosomal RNA", at positions 29 to 507 of the family's 1533-position model. The record is from RNAcentral.
AGCGAACGCUGGCGGCAGGCUUAACACAUGCAAGUCGAGCGGGCACUUCGGUGUCAGCGGCAGACGGGUGAGUAACACGUGGGAACGUACCCUUUGGUUCGGAAUAACGCUGGGAAACUAGCGCUAAUACCGGAUACGCCCUUUUGGGGAAAGGCUUGCUGCCGAAGGAUCGGCCCGCGUCUGAUUAGCUAGUUGGUGGGGUAAUGGCCUACCAAGGCGACGAUCAGUAGCUGGUCUGAGAGGAUGAUCAGCCACACUGGGACUGAGACACGGCCCAGACUCCUACGGGAGGCAGCAGUGGGGAAUAUUGGACAAUGGGCGCAAGCCUGAUCCAGCCAUGCCGCGUGAGUGAUGAAGGCCUUAGGGUUGUAAAGCUCUUUUGUCCGGGACGAUAAUGACGGUACCGGAAGAAUAAGCCCUGGCUAACUUCGUG